Molecule: ribosomal RNA, 373 nt
Filed under: uncultured Rhodoferax sp.
Lineage: Bacteria; Pseudomonadati; Pseudomonadota; Betaproteobacteria; Burkholderiales; Comamonadaceae
Description: bacterial SSU rRNA
Rfam family: Bacterial small subunit ribosomal RNA
Source: RNAcentral
UAGAGGGGUGCUCGAAAGAGAGCCGUUAACACAGGUGCUGCAUGGCUGUCGUCAGCUCGUGUCGUGAGAUGUUGGGUUAAGUCCCGCAACGAGCGCAACCCUUGUCAUUAGUUGCUACAUUCAGUUGGGCACUCUAAUGAGACUGCCGGUGACAAGCCGGAGAAGUGGGGAUGACGUCAAGUCCUCAUGGCCCUUAUACGUGGGGCUACACACGUCAUACAAUGGCUGGUACAAAGGGUUGCCAACCCGCGAGGGGAGCCAAUCCCAUAAAGCCAGUCGUAGUCCGGAUCGUAGUCUGCAACUCGACUACGUGAAGUCGGAAUCGCUAGUAAUCGUGGAUCAGAAUGUCACGGUGAAUACGUUCCCGGGUCUU